CUGUGAGGUCCUCUUUAAUGCUGGACUUAGUCAGGCUGAUCCCAGGGAUGAGUAUCAUAGUUAUCCACCCUUCUCACUUCUUUCAUUUAUGCUUUUGACCAAGGUUGAUUAUUUGUAGAGAUGAGGCCUGAGGACAUCACCAAAAUAAAGUGGAACCUUCCGAAGAAGAGGAAGGCUCCGAUGCUUGAAGGCACCUCUAAGAAGCCAGUGGUCUGUCGAGAAAAGGUUGUGGACGAGCGGGUCUUGGUAACCGAGGUCACAUUGUGUGCUGGCGAUUCCUACUCCCCCGAGUCCAUCUUCGUCGACUAUGGCUCCAACUUCCAUGGUCAUUCUAGUGUUAGUGUCUCCACCACCCAUGGCUCCCCUGCUAGUUUCCCUG
RNAcentral lists this long non-coding RNA (379 nucleotides) under Elaeis guineensis (African oil palm). RNAcentral's name for it is "long non-coding RNA (EGUI_LNC022960)". Lineage: Eukaryota; Viridiplantae; Streptophyta; Magnoliopsida; Arecales; Arecaceae. The record is from RNAcentral.